This 497-nucleotide ribosomal RNA is filed under the name uncultured bacterium. RNAcentral describes it as "partial 16S ribosomal RNA". It matches the Rfam family "Bacterial small subunit ribosomal RNA", at positions 28 to 507 of the family's 1533-position model. The record is from RNAcentral.
GAUGAACGCUGGCGGCGUGCCUAAUACAUGCGAGUCGAGCGAACAGACGAGGAGCUUGCUCCUCUGACGUUAGCGGCGGACGGGUGAGUAACACGUGGAUAACCUACCUAUAAGACUGGGAUAACUUCGGGAAACCGGAGCUAAUACCGGAUAAUAUAUUGAACCGCAUGGUUCAAUAGUGAAAGACGGUUUUGCUGUCACUUAUAGAUGGAUCCGCGCCGCAUUAGCUAGUUGGUAAGGUAACGGCUUACCAAGGCGACGAUGCGUAGCCGACCUGAGAGGGUGAUCGGCCACACUGGAACUGAGACACGGUCCAGACUCCUACGGGAGGCAGCAGUAGGGAAUCUUCCGCAAUGGGCGAAAGCCUGACGGAGCAACGCCGCGUGAGUGAUGAAGGUCUUCGGAUCGUAAAACUCUGUUAUUGGGGAAGAACAAAUGUGUAAGUAACUAUGCACGUCUUGACGGUACCUAAUCAGAAAGCCACGGCUAACUACGUG